This is a non-coding RNA of Sphingobacterium sp. ML3W, 120 nucleotides long. Lineage: Bacteria; Pseudomonadati; Bacteroidota; Sphingobacteriia; Sphingobacteriales; Sphingobacteriaceae. The record is from Rfam.
GAGGGUCGGUCCCUCGAAAUCUGAGUACAGGCUCUGGUUUCAAACCACCACGAGCUGCCAAGUUCAAAAGGCUUGGUGAUGAGCGUCGUUGGAAAAGGCAUACUAGUUAAAAUGUCAGGU